Molecule: ribosomal RNA, 1369 nt
Filed under: Provespa barthelemyi
Lineage: Eukaryota; Metazoa; Arthropoda; Insecta; Hymenoptera; Vespidae
Description: 16S ribosomal RNA
Source: RNAcentral
GAUAAAUAUAUUGUUUUUUUUUGAGUUGAAAAUUGAUUAAUAAAUAAAGUAAUAUAAAAAUUUUAUGUUAAAGUAUAAAUUUAGAAUAAAUUAUGUUAAUAUUAUAAAAAGUAAUGAAAAUGAAAAUUUAGAAAAAAUUAAAAAGUAGAUUUAAGUUAUUGUACCUUUUGUAUUAGGGUUGAUUAAAAAAAAUAUUUAAAUUAAAUAUUUCUCGAAUUUGAAAGAUUUAAUUAAAAAUUUUAGUUAUUGUAGAAAUAAUUAUUAAAAAUUUUUAGUUGGAAGUGAAAUGUUAAUCGAUUUCAAAGAUAUCUAGUUUUUUUAGAAUUGAAUUUAAUUCAGCUUAUAAAUAAAUUAAAAUAAAAUUAUUUUUUUUUAAUUAUAUUAUGAAGUAAAUAUUUUUGGGAUAAACUAAGGAUAUAAAAAAUAAUUUAUAAAUAAUAUUUAAUAAAUAAGAAUAUUCAUAAAAUUUGAAUUUUUUAAUAAAAAUGUUGCAAUUUAUAUAAAUUAAAAUAAAAAAUUUAGGUUUAUAGAUUUUUAUUUUUAUAAAAAAGAUUUAUUUAAUAAAUAAAUAAAUGAUAUAAUGAUUAAAUUAGUAAAUAAUAAAAAAUUUGUUUGGAAUAAAUAUAAUUAUUUUAUAUUAUUUUAAGGAAUUCGACAAAUAUUUUUGUUUAAAAUAUAUAUUCACCUGUUUAUCAAAAACAUGUCCUAUUUGAAUAUAAUAUUAGGUCUCCUCUGCCCAUUGAUUGAAAAAAUUGAAAGGCUGCAGUAUAUUGACUGUACAAAGGUAGCAUAAUCAUUUGUUUUUUAAUUGAAAACUGGAAUGAAAGAGUUAAUGAAAUAUAAAUUGUCUCAAAAUAAAAUAUUGAAUUUAAAUUAAAAGUAAAAAUGCUUUUAUUUAAUUAUAAGACGAUAAGACCCUAUAGAAUUUAAUAAAUUUUAUUUUUGUAAUUAUUUUAUUUAAUAAUAUUAUAUGGAUAGAUUAUAUUUUAUUGGGAGGAUAGUUAAAAAAAUUAAACUUUAAUGAGGUAUAAACAUUGAUUAAUGAAAAUUUUGAUUAUUAUUAUAAUUAGUAGAAUAAAUUACCUUAGGGAUAACAGCGUAAUAAUUUUGGAGAGUUCAUAUUGAUAAAAUUGUUUGCGACCUCGAUGUUGAAUUAUGAUAAAAAUUAGAUGGAGGUAUUUAAAUUUUUAGUCUGUUCGACUAUUAAAAUCAUACAUGAUUUGAGUUCAGAUCGGUGUAAGCCAGAUCGGUUUCUAUCUAUAAUUAAAUUAUAUUUUAUUGUACGAAAGGACUUAAAAUAUUAAAUAAUUUAUAAAAUAAUUGAAUAAAAUUAAUAAAUUUUUAUAGUAUAAAAUUUAUAGUAUAAAAU